GUCUAGCAAUAGAUGAGACCGGCGCACGGGUGCGUAACGCGUAUGCAAUCUACCUUUUACAGAGGGAUAGCCCAGAGAAAUUUGGAUUAAUACCUCAUAGUGUAUUUAAGUGGCAUCACUUGAUUACUAAAGUCACAACGGUAAAAGAUGAGCAUGCGUCCCAUUAGCUUGUUGGUAAGGUAACGGCUUACCAAGGCUACGAUGGGUAGGGGUCCUGAGAGGGAGAUCCCCCACACUGGUACUGAGACACGGACCAGACUCCUACGGGAGGCAGCAGUGAGGAAUAUUGGACAAUGGGCGCAAGCCUGAUCCAGCCAUGCCGCGUGCAGGAAGAAGCAUCUAUGGU
RNAcentral lists this ribosomal RNA (346 nucleotides) under uncultured bacterium. Its description in RNAcentral is "bacterial SSU rRNA". It matches the Rfam family "Bacterial small subunit ribosomal RNA", at positions 74 to 422 of the family's 1533-position model. The record is from RNAcentral.